Syngnathus typhle (broad-nosed pipefish) is the source of this 1235-nucleotide long non-coding RNA. RefSeq lists it as uncharacterized. The record is from RefSeq and is a predicted model, not a curated record. NCBI's taxonomy places the organism in Eukaryota, Metazoa, Chordata, Actinopteri, Syngnathiformes, Syngnathidae. The transcript is spliced from 4 exons.
CUCCGAUGACAGGCGCAGGGACUUCCUGUAGGCGGGACCGGCGGUCACGUCGUUGAGCUCUUUGCUUUCGUCGUCGCUCGACCACUCCGAGGUUUUCUCUCUGAAGGAAGGUUAAGCAUUUAACUUUCAUCGGCACUUUUUCAGGGUCCGUGUCCGGAGCUGGACUCUCAUUGGUCAAAGUCUUCUGCGGCUCCAGCUUGCUCUCUGUGGACAACUGAACACAAAGCAAGUAUUGCAUGUUACAUAAUUGUAAAUUGUGAAGAGGUCUGGCUACCUGCUUGACGCUGCUCUUCCUCCAGAACCACCAUCGCCCUGACUUUUUAGGCAUCCUGUCCCUCACCCAGGCUUCUUCUGUGGCCUAUUGGUCAGGACACUAGCAAAUCUCAAGACUCUUUGACAAAAGAUUUCAGCAAAUCUUGUGAUAGCCACAAAUCGCAUGAGCAAAUUACUUUUGGGAGGUUCUUCUGAAAAGCCUGCAUACUGAGGAUGAGCGGUGCCGCCAGUGUCCAGUUGUAAUAUCUGCGAGAGAGAUCGAAUGACGAACGUGAUUGACACAACCAAGUUUCGAGCAAGGUGGCGCCGGUGUUGCCGCUUACCGCCGUCGAUCUCCGAGUCAGCGCUCCCGUCGCCGCCGCCGCAAAGCGACAGCGCCACGUCGGGCAGGUCGGCGGCUGAGUCGGAAAGACACUCCGCCCCGCUAUCCCCGUGACUCCCACCACUGCCGCCCGCCGCAGUCGUCUCCCUCCAGGACCUCGAAACCUGGUCCGACUCGCUGGACACGCAGACUAUCAUAAGUCAACUGCUGAGCAAAUAUUUGGAUUCGGGUUGGUGUCCAUGCUGGCGGCAGAUGUGAGGCUGCAGGAAUCAGGAGUGAAGGGCGUGGAUGGUGACAAGGUGGAGGCCAGUUCAGGAAAAAGGGAGACAACUCACAGGUGAGGUUGAGGGGGAAGUUCAUGCUUGUUUUUUUUUUAUUAUCAUUAGUGUCGUUGGCAAACACAAAAGACUAACAGUGAGGGUGGAGGUGGCAAAUAUCGCCAUGGCGAUCGGUGAUCUUCACAUUGGACGGGCGGUGGAAGUUGAUCAUCACAACAAACAAUCUGGUGAUCAUGUGUGACCGCGUUUUGCCGCAAAUAAUGUCAGUCUUGUGCUCACUUCUUCUCAGAUGGAUACAUAUUUUGAUGUGUGGUGAAUAUCAACUUACUUAGUUGCAACAAAGAAAAGCUAAUGGGAUGAAA